UCUUGGGCGCUUUGCUUCCUUGCAUAAGAGGGAGACGGUGCCGACUGCCCAUGCUCUUGCUCCGCCAGUGGUGGUGCUUGAGCUUGUGGCCAUGGUGGCAACUUGCAUGGGAGCAUGGGAUGUAGGAACAAGGCAGCGCACAACAACUCGUAGGCAUGCAAAGGAUGCCUAGCCGAGCUGCCAGGCAAUGGAGAGUAUGGAGGAGGUGCGAGGGGAGGGGUGAAAACGUUGUUGGGAGCGGACUGCCGUCGCCGUCAGCCUUUGGACCCAAAGUCGAGCAGUGAGGUGAUUAUGAUUGGGGAAGCGAGGAAGAGGGCACUAUGAGCAGAAAGGAAUGAUUAACCACCGUGAUGGCGGACGGUUGUGGGUAGACCAGGUGUCUACACGUGGAUUUGCUAGACGGGAUAUGACAUGACAUGGUUGUUGUGUGGUGAGGUGCCAUGGGAUAAGACAUGACGCGAGAUAUGACAUGACACGGGAUAUAACUGGCGUGUGGGUGUGUUUGGUUGUUGCCGGCAGGGCACUCUGCUAUGUGUGCUGCCACAUAGUCUGAGCUCCCUUGUGUGGCUUAGUGGUUGCAAACUUCUUACAAUGGAUAAGGCCUCACUACAAGGACAUAAAAUAUAUCCAUUUGUGUCGAGAGAAAUCAUCUUUAAAGAUAAUAUAGUAACGAUGGCUCCUUCCGAGGGAAGGGAGCCGGACCACAAACAUUAGAGUGAGCAAGAUCAAAAGGACGCUGAAACAGUCUUGCUAUGAGCAUAGGGUAACUGGUGGAUGUGGAGCUAGGGCUAAAUGGCGUUGAGUACGGAAGUUUGUUCUAG
RNAcentral lists this long non-coding RNA (821 nucleotides) under Hordeum vulgare. Its description in RNAcentral is "long non-coding RNA (HVUL_LNC001178)". The record is from RNAcentral. Lineage: Eukaryota; Viridiplantae; Streptophyta; Magnoliopsida; Poales; Poaceae.